GCGACAGAGGAGCGUUCGCUCCUUGGGUGACGAGUGGCGGACGGGUGGAGUAAUGUCUGGGAGUCUGCCCGAUAGAGGGGAGUAACCGACCUGGAAACGGUAGGCUAAUACCGCCGAUAACGUACGCAAGACCGAAACGAGGGGGACCGUUCGGGCCGUCUCACUAUCGGAGUGAACCCAGAUGGGAUUAGCUAGUAGGCGGGGUAAUGGCCCACCUAGGCGACGAUCCCUAGCUGGUCUGAGAGGAUGACCAGCCACACUGGAACUGAGACACGGUCCAGACUCCUACGGGAGGCAGCAGUGGGGAAUAUUGCACAAUGGGCGCAAGCCUGAUGCAGCCAUGCCGCGUGUAUGAAGAAGGCCUUCGGGUUGUAAAGUACUUUCAGCGGGGAGGAAGGCGACAGGGUUAAUAACUCUGUCGAUUGACGUUACCCGCAGAAGAAGCACCGGCUAACUCCGUG
This 461-nucleotide ribosomal RNA is filed under the name uncultured Pantoea sp. RNAcentral's name for it is "bacterial SSU rRNA". It matches the Rfam family "Bacterial small subunit ribosomal RNA", at positions 66 to 507 of the family's 1533-position model. Lineage: Bacteria; Pseudomonadati; Pseudomonadota; Gammaproteobacteria; Enterobacterales; Erwiniaceae. The record is from RNAcentral.